RNAcentral lists this ribosomal RNA (253 nucleotides) under uncultured bacterium. Its description in RNAcentral is "partial 16S ribosomal RNA". It matches the Rfam family "Bacterial small subunit ribosomal RNA", at positions 524 to 776 of the family's 1533-position model. The record is from RNAcentral.
UACGGGGGGGGCAAGCGUUGUUCGGAAUUACUGGGCGUAAAGGGCUCGUAGGCGGCCAACUAAGUCAGACGUGAAAUCCCCAGGCUCAACCUGGGAACUGCGUCUGAUACUGGAUGGCUUGAAUCCGGGAGAGGGAUGCAGAAUUCCAGGUGUAGCGGUGAAAUGCGUAGAGAUCCGGAAGAACACCGGUGGCGAAGGCGGUCUGCUGGGGUGAUGCUGACACUGAUGCGCGACAGCGUGGGGAGCAAACAGG